GACGAACGCUGGCGGCGUGCUUAACACAUGCAAGUCGAACGGAAAGGCCCUGCUUUUGUGGGGUGCUCGAGUGGCGAACGUGUGAGUAAUACGUGAGUAACCUGCCCUUGACUUUGGGAUAACUUCAGGAAACUGGGGCUAAUACCGGAUAGGAGCUCCUGCUGCAUGGUGGGGGUUGGAAAGUUUCGGCGGUUGGGGAUGGACUUGCGGCUUAUCAGCUUGUUGGUGGGGUAGUGGCUUACCAAGGCUUUGACGGGUAGCCGGCCUGAAAGGGUGACCGGCCACAUUGGGACUGAGAUGCGGCACAGACACCAACGGGAGGCAGCAGUAGGGAAUAUUGCACAAUGGACGGAAGCCUGAUGCAACAACGCCGCGUGCGAGAUAACGGCCUUCGGGUUGUAAACCGCUUUCGCCUGUGACGAAGCGUGAGUGACGGUAAUGGGUAAAGAAGCACCGGAUAACUACGUG
Molecule: ribosomal RNA, 468 nt
Filed under: uncultured bacterium
Lineage: Bacteria
Description: partial 16S ribosomal RNA
Rfam family: Bacterial small subunit ribosomal RNA
Source: RNAcentral